RNAcentral lists this ribosomal RNA (369 nucleotides) under Aphodius quadratus. RNAcentral describes it as "partial 16S ribosomal RNA". Lineage: Eukaryota; Metazoa; Arthropoda; Insecta; Coleoptera; Scarabaeidae. The record is from RNAcentral.
ACUGUGCGAAGGUAGCAUAAUAAUUAGUUUUUUAAUUGAGAACUGGUAUGAAUGGUUGGACGAGAUAAUAGCUGUCUCAAUUUAAUUUAAAUUAGAAUUUUAUUUUUAAGUUAAAAAGCUUAGAUUUUUUUAAAAGACGAGAAGACCCUAUAGAGUUUUAUAUUAAGGUUAAAUUUAAUUUAUAAAGUAUUGUAUUUAUUUUAUUUAAAUUUAGUAUUUUAUUGGGGCGAUAUAAAAAUUUAAUAAACUUUUUAUUUUUUAUUACAUUGAUAUAUGAUUGAAUGAUCCAUUAUUUAUGAUUAAAAGAUUAAAUUACCUUAGGGAUAACAGCGUAAUUUUUUUUUAGAGUUCUUAUCGAAAAAAAAGUUU